CAUACAAGACUGGAAUAAUCAUUUCGAAUUGAAGGUAAUUGUUAUUCAAAAAAUUAACUAUACUUUAGUUCUGACUAUACAUAAACUCAUCAUAGAUACCAUGCCUAAAGGAGUAGGUUCAGUAAGACCCCAUUUUGGCCCCAAAAAUAUGCAGUUUUACAAAAUUUGUGAAAAUGUAAUCUUUAGAUAUUUACUGAAAGAGAAGCUGUGCUACUAAAUAUGGCUGUUUUUGACAAUACAAUGUAAUAUAUCGGGUACUAGCAUCAUUAAGUCAUGCUAAAUUACUGAAUCUUCUCAAUUUUAGCAUUUUAGUUAAAUUUUUAGACGGUUUCCGUGAAAUAAUGGCCUAUUCGUGUUAUUCAUAUAUAAAAUGUAAGUUGUAUUUGGUGAUAAUACAUAACAUAUAUAACGUUGAGGUGAACACGAUGCGGCACUUUCAUUUUGCCAAAAACCAUCUGAAAAGUGACGUUUUUUGGCAUAUUUGAUGAAUUUUUCAUAUCUAAGCUUGAAUUGGAGUGUUUUAAUGACUAAAUCAGUCAAAAUCUUUCCCAAAAACUUAUUGAAAAGUGUCCAAAAUCUUUCGUGAAAUGAACUUGAAAUUUGAGGCCAAAAUCGGCCCUUACGGGACCUACUCCUUUUGUAUAUUGUAUCUACGCUUUCUCAUAAAAAUAUGACGUACCUACGUGAAAUUAAAAAAAAAACUUAUUAUCAUGUUUAUUUAAAUUUUUAUUUUGAUGCAGUGUAUAUGUUUUCGUAGUACCUGAAUACAUUGAACCAAGGGUUGAUUAUGGUAUAGAAUUAUGUAUUUUAAAUUGUUUUACCUAUAUGUGCCGUUGAACCCUGGAUCAUAUAUGGACUUGGGUCUCAUUUUUAGCCCAUCUGGCCCAAAAGGGUUCAGUGAGCUUUUCUCGUCACUAGCUAUAGGCGUCCGUCGUCCAUCGUCGUCGUCGUACGUUAGCUUUAAAAAAAUCUUCUCCUUUUAAACUAAUGAGCCAAAUUGAAUCAAACUUGGCCUAAAUUAUCCUUAGGGUAUCUAGUUUAAAAAUGUAUCCAAUGACCCCGCCAAGUAAUCAAGAUGGCCGCCAUAGCUAAAUACAGAACAUGGUGGUAAAAUUAUCUUUUGGCCUAUAGCUCUGACACUAAAGCACUAAGAGCAAAUCGGACGAAAUAAAAAUGUUCAUUGGGUUAAAAAUCUAUCUACCCUGAACUUUUAGAUGCAUCAGACAAUCUGUUGGUUUGAAAAUGCCUGUACCAAGACAGGAAUAUGACAAUUGUCCAUUCGUUUGAUGUGUUUUAUCAUUUAAUUUUGCUAUUUCAUUAGAGACUUUCCAUUUUGAAUUUUCCUCGGAGUUCAGUAAUUUUACUUUUGUGAUAGGUUGCUGUCCCAGAUUUGGGAAUUUCAAGGAAAUUUUCAUUUUUUAUCUAUUAUCUUCAAUAUUAUAACAUGUAUAAAUGAUAAGUUAAACUGUAAACAGCAAAAUUGAUCAGAAAGUUAACAUCUACAAAGUAUUCCUACAUGACCAAAAUGAUCAAUUGACCCUUUAGAAGUUAUUGCCCUUAUAGUCAAUUCUUUUUAUCAAUAUGAGUAAAUUUUGUAAUUUUUUGUCGAUGUAGUCAAAUGCAGGGUUAACAUUUAUAUAAGACUAAUAUAUGCUCGUCCUGAACAUGCAUGAUACUAAUUUGCCACGGAACAUAAUGCAGCCCCCUCCUCCUCCUCCUCAUCCUCAUUAUCAUCAUCAUAAUAUUUUUUUUAUUUUGAAAUUCUCUUUCGUAUCUGGUGUCUUUUUUUUGAUAGCAGAAUUUAGGGUAGCAAUACACAAUCAUAAGACUUUGUUUAGUUCCGCAGAAGUUUUUGUAUAAUUUAGUUUCACCUCUUGAUAGACAAAUGUCUAUUGUUUUAGGAAAGGCAUCGCUCUAAUAGAUUGAAAAUUGCCUUAGUAUCAAUUUUUGGAGAUUACCCAUCCCCCUUUUUUUGCAAUAUUUUGUAUCAGAUGAAAUAAAUCAUUUCCAUGGUAACAUCAAAAAGGGAUUAAAUUUCACCUUUUAAUUAUUGGAAUCGUCAAUCUAUAGAUGAUUCCCAUUCCAUAUAUACGCUCAUGCAUGACACAAUAUUAAGCCUUAAUUGAGAAAAAGGAAGGAAAUGGGUGGUUACACAUUAUGGGAGUCAAUUUUAAGUUUUUCCUAACUGUGUAUUUCUACCUAAGUGAGUGAUUUUAUCUUUCACUAUGCAGCAUAAUGUGCCUCAUUCAUGUGUUAUUUUGGACUAUACUGAUCUCUACAUCUUUCCUCUAGAUGUCCUUGGAUAGCGUUUUGUUUUUAAAUAACCGAAACCCAAAGUCAUUUGUGGUGUCCCCCACCAUUGAGUGUCGUUAACAUUAUUGUAUUAAUACUGAGGACAUGUUUGAGCUUAAAGCUUUUUAAAUUGAGUAAGUUUUCGGCGAAAAAUAUUUGUAGGACAGGUUAGAUUUGGGAAAGUAAAAAAAUGAGGAUGUGAAAUUAAACAUUUUUGGACGAUUUGGAGUAUAAAGGACUCUUUGGGCGAAAUAACACGUCUUAUAUGACGAAAAAUAUACAAAAAAUCAAUGUUUACUGACGAGUCUGGAGAGUAAAUGGUCAUUACCAUAUACAUAAAGUUUAUUCCUGUAAAAUAAAAGGACGAAAUGCACACGGUUUUUUAAGUUCUAAAAUUAUCUUUCAUCGUUCAAUAUAAUAUCCUUCAAUCAAUAAUGUCUAAAUUUGUGUAAAUAUUAAUCACAUCACUCAUAUUAACAACAACAAAUCUCUUGAAAACAAUUUUAACACAAAUCUUGAAACAAGAAUAAUUUUGCAUUGCCUUUUUCAUUUCAAAUCCUCAAAGGAUUUUAAUUUGAUUUCAUUUUCAUUGCAACUACUUUAAAACCAUACAUCAGAAUUCUGGAGAUAGUUAGGCCAUAUUAUGAUUAGGCUCAUAUAUUUACAAUAAUUGUUAUCAGUGGACUUUUGUAGGAGUUAUGAGCAUCUGUAUUGGUAAAUGGCAUAUCUGGUACUUGUUAGUACAUAAAACCGGUAUAUAUUUUCUAAGAAACACUUUCGACAAGUAAACGAAAUCUUUUACUGAUGAUACUUUAGGAUCAUUAACUGAUUUUCAGUUUUGAUGGACAAACAAAGGUUAGAAAUAACCAUCACAAAAGAAGAGAACUAGAAUCAUACAAAUUAUACGUACAUACAGGUUCUUGGAUACCAUCUAGCAUAUAAAAUAAACGAGUGACAUUUUUCAAAAAACCCUCUUAGUUAGGACUUUAAUGGACUCACCCAACACAUGACUGUAUAACAUAUCAUUCGAAAGCUUAUUUUUUGCACUUUCUGUUUUCCCCUGUCAUAAACAAAUCGAACGGUAUGAAAUUCGUUAAAUCAAGGUCAGAGGUCAAGAAGAAACAUUCCAAUUUAUAUAAAAAUCAUAUCAUGCAGAAAUGGACCUCGAGUAGUCCUCUUCUAAUUUGGAGUUUUUCCUGCUUUCUAACAAAAAAGGAGUAGGGGCAAUAAGGCCCUUAUUUGGCCCAAAAAUUACUGCAAAUUUAAAAGUUAUCAUACAUAUUCUUAAAUUACUGAAAACUUGACAAAAGGUACAAGGUAUUACGAAAAACAAAAUAAAUUUGUCAUUGAACAAGUUACCAUGGCAACAAAUCACGACUUAGUUUGCAUAAUUUCCCAAAUUUUGUGAUUUUCCUCGUUUUUCAUCAAAUUUGAAGUACAUUUUAGAUUGAAAAAGUAUGUGUGCACCAAACAAACAACUUUAAAAUUGGUGAGAAUUUUUCAGAAGUUAUAAUAAAGCUUCUGUGUUAAGUUAUUUUUUUGUUUCUUGGCUGCGCAGGAUGUUUCAACAAUGGAAAUAAAUAUAGAAAACUGCAUAAAUUCUGUAUUUUUCAUCGUUUUUGUGAAGACAGUACAUAUUUUGACGUAAUUGUGACGUCAUAAGAUAAAAAUCUUUAUGUUUUUUAUUUACUAGUAUAUUUCUUGACCCUAUACAUUUCUUGACAUUAUUAGUCAAUUUGAAAUAGUUAACAAACCUUUUAUUUUCUUGGGCCAAAACCAUGCCUUAAUGUCCCUAUUUUAUCAAAAUCAUUUGCUAAUCCAUAUUAUGAUCUUUUUCUUUACGUAAAUCUUCAGCAUUGGAGCACAAACUGCUUACUGUGUUUCCAUAGCGGAUUAGUUCUGACUUAAAAAGUUAAAGUAAUCAUAAAAAACAAAAUUAUGUGAAAAAGAAAACAGCCACCAGAAGGUUGCAUGUGAAAUAGAUUGACUUGCAGGAAAGUACAUACCAUAUACAAAAAGUACUCCUACCUUCGCCGAGAUGCAGAUUAAAUAAUAAAAGCAAUGUCUAUCUAAAUUAAAUCUAUGAAUUGUUGGCACUGAUUAAAUUGACUAAAUGUCUCCUCCAUGAAGGUCUUGAACAUUAAAACUAAAUGUUUAAUAGACGACACUGCAAAGUGUUAUUGUUUGGUACAUGUUGGAUCUCACUGUGCAAACAGGUAUAAAGUAGUUUUUUAACGAAAGUAAAUUUUAAGAAGUUCAGUAGUUUAAGAUUAAUGAAUGCAAAGAUGACGUGAGCCUUAUCUUAUGAUGUGUGAUCUUAGUACAUCGUAUCUUACAAGUUAUUUUAAUCAUUUAUUGACAAUCAAUAUUCAAUAUAUUCUCUGUUAAAAAUAAACGCUUUCUUGUGCCUUUAUCAAUGAUUGCAUUAAUAUGAUUUAAAAUUCGUUAUGUGUUUAUAACACAAUGGGAAGUACUCAUUCAUUCAUCCAAGCUUAGCGACUGUCAAUACAUAAUACGACCUUUUCUGCACUAGAGUGAUAUUAUGAACAACAUAGUUAUAAAAACUGUACAAAGAUUUAUACGGAUGAAUCGUAUUACUAAAUUUAACUUACAUAACUGAAAUAGUGGUUUGAACGUCAUUUGAAUUUUAAAUUAAAAUUGUUUAUGUUGGUUUACGUUGAAUUAUCAAAAUUGUCAUGGAAUUAAAAGGACACAGUGAUAUACUAUUUGAAUUCUUAUUGUAUAACGUGUAUGAUGAACAGUUUUACAAAAUAAACACCCUCCGCUAAUAUGUUGAUUAUAAAUUUCCGUACCAAUAUUGCACAUUUUUUAUCUGAUAUACAAUGCAUCGAAAGCCAUUGUAAACUUAUAAAAGCUAAACUCUGAAAAGAUUGUUGACAAUUUAUAAAAUAGAUAGUUUAUCUCAUGAAUUGAUUCAUCGAUCAUGUUAAGUUCGUGUAAUUCAGUCCUAAGUUUUAUGUGGAAUAUUUUGACAUGAAUAUCAAUUAUAUGGUCAUUCGAUUAAAUUUCCUGUUUACAUUGAUAUUAACUUUCGAAAAGAUUUUCUCAUCCCAUGCAUAGAUUAUCUUAGCUUUAUUUGGCUAAAACCUUUUUGAGAAAAUUUGGUUCUCAAUGUUCUUUGACUUUAUACUUGUUUGGCUGUAUAACCAUUUUGAUCUAAAGGUCACUGAUGAAUCUUAUGAAGACGAAACGGGCGUCUGGCGUAUUAAAUUAUAAGCCUGUUACCUUUGAUAAUAUGCGUAGAUUGUUGUUCGUCGUUGUGUCGUUGUUCUUACUAUUUGGGCCAUAACGUAGAAUAGUAAAUGUUAAAUGCCACUUGGUAUCUUAUUUCUCUUUUAAGUAAUAGAGACUCUCAAAAAAUUACUCAUAAAACACAAAAUAGGAGAUGUACAGUGCAUUAUAUGGUUAACAAUAGUAAAGCGAAUAAUAUUGUGUACGGAUAAAAAAUCCCAGUCAUCAUGUCAAAAUAAAUCUUUUAUAAAACCCAAUUUUUGUCAAGUCUUUCCUUAAGACAUUUAACAUUGUUUAGUCAAAAGUUUAAAUUGUAAAUUCAUCAACACUAGACGACUUUCAACAUCUGCCUGAUUUAUGUAUUUAUAAUUCAAUUAGAGGUUUAUAAAAAGAAGUUUUCUAAAUCUUUAUAUAAUUUCAAUUUGUCGUAUUCUAUAUCCAGACUUCGUGAAUACCGUUCGUAUUUUACCUUCAAUAUCUAGCCAAGUCAUUUAAUAGUGUCUCUUUCUUGUUGGAUAUCGUUUACAUAUCUUUAAAUAUAUCGUUCAUGGAGACGAUAUGCGAACACCUGCGCAAUGGCAUGUUAUUUAAAUUAUACAAAGUCAUGCAGGUUUAUUACUCUGCUUGUGCUCAAAGAAGAAAAAAGAAUUUAAUGCUUAUUGAAUGAGAGGUAGGCAAAACUAUUUAACAUGUUUACAAAAUUUACAAAGAAGAAAUGCAAAGAAUAUUUUUUGUUUAAGCGAUAUAAAUGAUCUGUGUAUUCAAUCCUGGUAAAUGCUUGAACAUAUGGUAAAGACAUAAUAAACAUCGAACUAAGGAUUCUCUACCCCAGGAACUGAUUACAUUAACUGUCAUCAAGCAUCAUACUUUAUGAAGUGUUUUUACUGUGUUAUUACGACUAUGACUGAUGAGUUCUUGUCUAGAUUAAACGUGCGUCUGACUUUCAAAAUUAUAAGCCUGAUAUUUUUGACGAUUUUCUUGUAACCUCUGAGUGGAUGCUACUGAUGUUUGAAUAAUUAACUUGUGUUACCUGAUUUUCAAAAAACAUUCGAAGUUUGUGUACCCAUGCGUUUCAACCUUUUGGCCAUUGAACUUUGUGAUUCAAGCGUGUCACUGAUGAGUAGUUUUUCUGGGGUACACAAUUAAAAGACUGAUAUUUUUUAUUAUUUUUAACAUAUGGUUAUCAUAGUAACGUUGACUAUGUCAUAAAUAUUUCUUAAAAGCGAUGGGGUUUAAUUUUCAUAAGCUAUAUAAUAAAUCCGUUUUCCGGAAAUUCAAAUGGUUAUUUCAUCCAGACAUGAUGAGUUUUCAUAAUUUGGUAUGCAAGUGAGGACACAGAUCAUCGUGGAUAAUAUAUUUGGAUAUUUGACAGUAUUUUCUAACAAAAAGAGUUUUCUGCUUUUGUUUGAUAAACUGAGUUUCACUGUGACAGCCAACGUGUACCAAACCUCUUGAAAUAAGCAGUGUCGUUUAUCUAAGGAUUGAUUAGUUUUAAUGUUCAAAACUGUAAUGGAAGAGACAAUUAUUACAUAUGCUAUCAAUGAUUAGGAUAUAUUAUUAUCCACAACUUUGAAUUUGCAUUUGCAUUAAAAAUUCUAAAUCAGGAGAAGAACUCAUUCGAUGAUUUUCUACAUGAUGUGAUUUUAUUAUGUAUGAUUGUAUAUAAUAACUGGCAUAAAACCUCAAAGUAUAUUGCAAAUGUCAUACAAUUUAGAGGUUUAUCGCUAUUAACCAGGUUCAAUCCACCAUUUUCUAGAUAAGAAAAUGUCUCUACCAAGUCAGAAAUAUCACAGUUGUUGUCCAUUCGUUUGAAGUGUUUGAGCUUUAAUUUUGCCAUUUGAUUAGGGACUUUCCGUUUUGAAUUUUCCUCGGAGUUCAGUACUUUGUGAUUUUACCUUUUGCCAUCUUAUUUAACAUGGUAUGUUAAAGUGUAUUGACUUACUUCAUACUUAUACAUAUACUGUAUGAUUGUAUAGUUAUUGAGACAAAUCCAUGCACCAGGAGGUUCAAAAGUAUUCGUUUGUUGUUGUGGUUCAUAUGUGUUUUUGGUUUCUCGUAUUUUUUAAUAGAUUCAAUCGUUGUUUUUCCGUUUUGAAUGGUUUUUAUAAUUGUCAUUUUUGGGACCCGUUAUAACUUAAUGUUCGGUGUAAACCAAGGCUCUGUGUUGAAGACAGUACUUUGACCUAUAAUCAUUAUUGUUUAAAUUUGCAAAUUUUGUAAGUUUUACUUUUAAUUUUUUUUUCAUCACGGCGGCGCUGGUUAGUCUUGUGUGGACGUGGCGCGCGUCUGGCGUAUUUAAUUUUUAACCAGGUACCUGUUGUUGGCCAUUAAUCGUUUGUUUCUCUGUCCUAUAUUUUUUGCCAUUUAUUUGUAUUGUAGUCCUAUCAUGUAAUGUUUUCAUUUUAAUGUUACAAUUGACAUUACCAUUAAAGCGGGAGGUUUGGCAUGCAACAAAACCAGGUAUAACCCACCAUUUUUUUUUCUUCAAAUGCCCUGUACCAAGUCCGGGAAAUGGCAAUUGUUAUAUUAUAGUUCGUGUCUGUGUGUGUUACAUUUUAAUGUUGUGUUCCUGUUGUGUCGUAGUUCUCUUAUAUUUGAUGCUUUUCCCUCGGUUUUAGUUUGUAUCUCGGAUGUGUUUUUUCUCUAUCGACUUAUGAAUUUCGAACAGCGGUAUACUACUGUUGUCUUUAUUUGACUUGAAUGAGAGAAUUGUCUCAUUUGUACUGAUAACAAAUCUUCUUAGUUCUAUCACUGCCAGCGAAAAGAAACACUAGUUUACAAUUUUAAUCCUUUGGUAAAAGUUAUUGCCAUACGACGAUUGUUAGUUUGUUUGGUCGUCAAUAUCAAAUACUAUGUUAAAAAGAACCUUAUUCAUCUCACUAUCCAACUGCUCCUCUGUAUCUAUAUCUAACAACGUUCCUUUUUAUCAAGAAUAAAUAAUAUCUUCCCAUUUCUUUGAGCGAGUUUACGAGUGAGACAUUGAUUACCAAUUGGUUGUCACUGCUGCAAUGACGUUUGGUAAUUUACCAUUACAUUUGAAUUUUAUGAGCUUUUUGUUUUAACGACAACCGUUUUUCCUUUUUCAAUUCUUCAAAUAUAAUUAUUGUAAACAGAGAGAAAGAUUAUUAAUGAAAAUAUUAAUGUAUAAUGCAUUUGUUGUUUUAAUCACUUGUCUAUUAUGAACAUAAUGCUCAAAUAUCUUUCAAAUUAUAUAAUUAAAAUACCUAACUGUUAAAAAAACAAAUGAUCGACAUUGAUCGUGGCAAGAAAUUGAGAAUAGAUACAACCGUCAACUGACAAUUUAUAAGUGUUUUUGUCCUUAAGUAAAGAUGUUGACAGAUGUCGGUAUAUUUCUGAACUUUUAAUGGUUAAACAGAUGUCAUACACACCUAAAUUAAGCAAAAAAUUUAAUAUCUACAAAAGCCACCAUUGAUUAAAAAAUAUCUAUGUUUUGCCUUUCGUAAAGUUUUAAGAAAAUAAAAAUAAACAGAAACAGAAUGCAUCAACAUGAUAACAAACAUUUAAGAUCAAAAUACCGGUUAUUGAAACAUCACGUUUCUGUAGUGGCUAUUACUAUUCUUCUAAGUACUACCUGCUAUCUACUGAUUGUAGUUUGGUAAUCUUCCAAUAGAAUAAUUUUUAGAAAGACAAAUCAAACCCAUGAAAGUGUAGACCGACAAACAUCAUCAACGACUUACAACUGCCAUACAAGUUGAGUUUUUAGCUAGUAUAAAACCAGGUUUAAUCAACCAUUUUAUACAUAAGGGAAUGCAUGUACAAAAUCUGGAAUAUGACAGUUAUUUCCCAUUCGUUUGAUGUGUAUGAGCUUUUGAUUUUGCCAUUUGAUAAUGGACUUUCCGUUUUUUAUUUUCCUUUAAAUUCGGUAUUUUUGAUAUUUUACUUUGUAGAGUGUCUUAAAAAAUGAGAAUAUGAUUAAUCACAAGUUUGCUCCCAGUUAGGUUUGAUUAAAGAUAUGACAUUUCUAGCUCUAAAGUCUGUUAUCUCGAAAAUAAGAAAUAAAAAGAGUAGACAGAAGGUUUUAACAAUUAAUAUUAUUUUCAAGACUAGAUUUAUGUACACAUUUCUUGACAUAGAUUGUCAAGUGGUAUUUUAUUUUAGUCAUUAGCAUUCAAAAUUUACUUUUUAUUAACUGUAGUUAAUUUUUGAUUUUUAUAAAAAAAAAAAAUAUUACUAGUUGGAAUUGAAACAGCUAAAAUGAUACACAAACUCAUUGAGAUCAAAAGUUCAUUUCUUGUAUAUAAUCAGAGUGGUGCAUCGGGAUCCUGUUGUUUAGAGAACUAUGUUCUUGUCAAAUGAGUAAAAUAGUUUCUGAUACCUUGGGCCUGAAAUAAUACUUGUUACAGUAAUGGAAAUGUAUCUUAUUUUACAGAUUCCUUCAACUAUAUUUUUAUUAUGUGAAGUUCAUGUUUGAUGGUAGGCUAGUUGAUGCUGCUUGUUAUUUUUUACUACUAUAACAAUUACCUUGUAUUUUUAUAAUCAUUACUUAUCUUCUUUUUGUAGAGUUUUCUUUAUGGCGUCAUCCUUCCACAGCUGUGGUGUGUGUGAACUCCGACUCAUCACCAAUUCAUGCAUAGUCUGGUGUACGGAAUGUGAUGAAGGACUAUGUAAAGAAUGUCAUGAACAUCAUAGAUUGUCAAAGGCUUCGAGGAACCAUAGUGUGAUACCAUUUACGGAUUACCAAAAAUUACCGACAGAUGUUCUGAAAAUCAGUCAAUACUGUAGCAAACACAAUAAAAAGUUUGAAAUGUUUUGCCAGAAACACGAACGACCUUGCUGCAGUAAAUGUAUAGUAGAAACACUUAAAGAAUGUCGGGAUAUCGUCGAUUUAGAUGACGUAAUUAAGAAUUACGAAACCCCCAGUGCCCCAUCUGAGAUUGAGAAAACAUUAGUUGAACUAGCAGAAAAUCUACAAAAAAUUCGCCAAUAUCAACAUGACAAUAUGUCGACUUUGAAAGAAAAAAGAAAGAAAAUUGAAAAAGAAAUUACGAGGACAAGAACGGAGAUCAACAACCAUCUCAAUAAAAUUGAAGAAGAUUUUAUGAAACAACUCUAUGUCCUCGAAGAAAAAGAAAACUCGAAAAUUGGUCAGUUAUUGUCAUUAUUAGAAAAGAAAGAAAAUGAAGUUGAAGAAUGCCAGAAAUAUAUUAUUAACAUCAAACAACAUGCCACAAAUCUUCAGAUGUUCUUUUCAGUGAAACAAAUCGAGGAAGACGUCUCUAACAAAGAUAAAUUCCUGCACUCCUUAUUUGAAGGUGAGGAUUUAACCCAGCAUUUUCUGGAAUUCGACAUAAAUGGAGCCUUUCAGAAAAUCAUGUUUGAUAUAAAACGUUUUAGGGAAGUACAUAUUGAAGAACAACCUGCCGAUAUUGUUCUAAGCAGAAAGAAGGCGAAAGAAGCCCAGAUAAUAGUACCGAUCGUUCAAUCAAGAUCUUUUGAAAACAUUAAUUUGAAGAUAAACAAGACAAUUAACCUGCAAGGUAGCUGGAUUUACGGUUGUUGCAUGCUGCCAGAUGGUAGAUUGGUGUUUACCUACAACCAUGAAGGAAAAUUAAGAGUAUUCAACGAUCAAGGAUCAAAAGAAUUUGAGAUGAAGAUACCAUGUGGAGCGUUUGAUUUGGUAUACAUUAGCAAUGACAAUACAUUGGUUGUAACAUCCGGUGAAUCAUGCAAGCAAUGUCUUUCCAUUGUAGACUUGAAGAAGAAAAAAAUUAAGAAAACAAUAUCACUGAGUUCGGAUAACUAUGGCAUGGUAUUAAAGGACAAUCAAUUGAUUUAUUCCGCCUUCAACAAAGGUAUACGAAUGAUAAAUCUACACGACGAGUCUUUGACCGACAUUGUCCGAGAAGAAAUGCCAACGGAAGGUUACACUGCGAUAUUUAAAGACAACAUUUAUCAUACAAACAGAAUAAGUCACACUGUUAAAUGUUACAACUUACAAGGUGAAAUACAAUGGACAUUCAAAAAUGAAGACGUUCUGAAAAAUCCCCUUGGUAUUGAUGUAGAUAGUGAUGGUAACUUGUAUGUGGCAGGGAUUCAUUCGAACAAUGUUGUUAUUAUCUCCAACGAUGGACAAAUGUAUCGAGAGCUAUUGGCAGCAGGUGUUGGUUUUCGAUAUCCCAUCGCACUCCGUUAUUAUGGACAUAAGAAACAAUUGCUAGUGGCAAAUAUUCACGACGAGGCUCGACUGUUUGAUUUGAUUUAACAUGUUUA
RNAcentral lists this long non-coding RNA (11775 nucleotides) under Mytilus galloprovincialis (Mediterranean mussel). The record is from RNAcentral. Lineage: Eukaryota; Metazoa; Mollusca; Bivalvia; Mytilida; Mytilidae.